RNAcentral lists this ribosomal RNA (762 nucleotides) under uncultured bacterium. RNAcentral describes it as "bacterial SSU rRNA". It matches the Rfam family "Bacterial small subunit ribosomal RNA", at positions 8 to 796 of the family's 1533-position model. The record is from RNAcentral.
AGAGUUUGAUCCUGGCUCAGGAUAAACGCUGGCGGCGUGCCUAACACAUGCAAGUCGAACGUCCUCUUCUCGCAAGGGGAGAGGGAGUGGCGGACGGGUGAGUAACACGUGGAUCAUCUACCUCAAGGUGAGGAAUACCGGCGAGAAAUCGCCGACAAGACCGCAUAGGCUCUGCGAAGAGCAAAGCUUCUUUCGGGAGGCGCCUUGGAUGAGUCCGCGGCCGAUUAGCCAGUUGGUGGGGUAAUGGCUCACCAAGGCGACGAUCGGUAGCUGGUCUGAGAGGACGACCAGCCACACUGGGAUUGAGAACGGCCCAGACUCCUACGGGGGGCAGCAGUGAGGGAUUUUCCGCGAUGGGCGCAAGCCUGACGGAGCAACGCCGCGUGCAGGAGGAAGGUCUUCGGAUCGUAAACUGCUUUUACCAGGGACGAGCAAGGACGGUACCCGAGGAACAAGCCCCGGCUAACUACGUGCCAGCAGCCGCGGUAAUACGUAGGGGGCGAGCGUUGUCCGGAGUUACUGGGCGUAAAGGGCCCGCAGGCGGUGUGCCAAGUUCGCACUGACAAUCCUCGGCUUAACCGAGGAGGGCGUGCGAAAACUGGCAGACUUGAGGAAGAGAGAGGGACAGGGAAUUCCGGGUGGAGUGGUGAAAUGCGUAGAUAUCCGGAGGAACCCCAAAGGCGAAGGCACUGUCCUGGCUCUUUCCUGACGCUCAGGGGCGAAAGCUAGGGGAGCGAACGGGAUUAGAUACCCCGGUAGUCC